RNAcentral lists this small RNA (90 nucleotides) under Paenibacillus wynnii. RNAcentral describes it as "BsrC". It matches the Rfam family "BsrC". Rfam says of the family: The 301 nucleotide sequence from Kouji Nakamura has been trimmed to a highly conserved ~85 nucleotide long core to form this family. The record is from Rfam by way of RNAcentral. Lineage: Bacteria; Bacillati; Bacillota; Bacilli; Caryophanales; Paenibacillaceae.
UCCUUCCAAUACGACAAAAGCCCUACCUCUCUUUUGUCCUUGCGGUUCCGUGACCGCGCCAGUGUGAAUCGGAUGCUAUGUGUGAAUUUA